Molecule: transfer RNA, 77 nt
Filed under: Mesorhizobium sp. LHD-90
Lineage: Bacteria; Pseudomonadati; Pseudomonadota; Alphaproteobacteria; Hyphomicrobiales; Phyllobacteriaceae
Description: tRNA-Leu
Rfam family: tRNA
About the family: Transfer RNA (tRNA) molecules are approximately 80 nucleotides in length. Their secondary structure includes four short double-helical elements and three loops (D, anti-codon, and T loops).
Source: RNAcentral
GCGAGCGUAGCCCAACUGGAAGAGGCACUGCACUCAGACUGCAGGCAGUGUGGGUUCGACUCCCUCCGCUCGCACCA